AUUGAACGCUGGCGGCAUGCUUUACACAUGCAAGUCGAACGGUAACAGGUUAAGCUGACGAGUGGCGAACGGGUGAGUAAUGCAUCGGAACGUGCCCGGUCGUGGGGGAUAACGCAGCGAAAGCUGCGCUAAUACCGCAUACGAUCCGAGGAUGAAAGCGGGGGACCGUAAGGCCGCGCGCAAUCGGAGCGGCCGAUGUCAGAUUAGGUAGUCGGUGGGGUAAAGGCUCACCAAGCCAACGAUCUGUAGCUGGUCUGAGAGGACGACCAGCCACACUGGGACUGAGACACGGCCCAGACUCCUACGGGAGGCAGCAGUGGGGAAUUUUGGACAAUGGGCGAAAGCCUGAUCCAGCAAUGCCGCGUGCAGGAAGAAGGCCUUCGGGUUGUAAACUGCUUUUGUACGGAGCGAAAAGGUCUCCUCUAAUACAGGGGGCUCACGACGGUACCGUAAGAAUAAGCACCGGCUAACUACGUGCCAGCCGCCGCCGUAA
This 493-nucleotide ribosomal RNA is filed under the name uncultured bacterium. Its description in RNAcentral is "partial 16S ribosomal RNA". It matches the Rfam family "Bacterial small subunit ribosomal RNA", at positions 29 to 523 of the family's 1533-position model. The record is from RNAcentral.